This 392-nucleotide ribosomal RNA is filed under the name uncultured bacterium. RNAcentral describes it as "bacterial SSU rRNA". It matches the Rfam family "Bacterial small subunit ribosomal RNA", at positions 28 to 421 of the family's 1533-position model. The record is from RNAcentral.
GACGAACGCUGGCGGCGUGCUUAACACAUGCAAGUCGAGCGGUAAGGCCCUUUCGGGGGUACACGAGCGGCGAACGGGUGAGUAACACGUGGGUGACCUGCCCUCAGCUCUGGGAUAAGCCUGGGAAACCGGGUCUAAUACCGGAUAUGACUCCAUGACGCAUGUUGUGGGGUGGAAAGCCUUGUGCGGCUGAGGAUGGGCCCGCGGCCUAUCAGCUUGUUGGUGGGGUGAUGGCCUACCAAGGCGACGACGGGUAGCCGGCCUGAGAGGGCGACCGGCCACACUGGGACUGAGACACGGCCCAGACUCCUACGGGGGGCAGCAGUGGGGAAUCUUGCGCAAUGGGCGAAAGCCUGACGCAGCGACGCCGCGUGAGGGAUGACGGCCUGUGU